GAUCUCUAUUACUGUUCGUCGACCUCUCAAGAUGUCUGAGAUCAUAAGCUCAAGAAAGGAAUUUGAACGACGCCCGAAUGAAACUGUUGUCACCUGGUUGCUUCGUUGUUGGGAUAGUGGGGCCAGUAGCUUGUCUCUAGAUGGUAAUGAAGCACGCCAAUUAGGAGACAUUGCCGGAGACAAAUCCAUCGACAGAGCAAUUAGUAGAUGUUUGGAUGAAGCUGCAACCCUCUGGGACCGAAUACUAAUAGCUGUGAAGGAAAGGUAUCCAGUAUUUGAGGGAAAUAGCCCUGGUGGAAAUGCUAUAUGAGUCUAAUUUUGUUCCUAAUGAUCCACGCCAAAACCAUGAUCCGGAGAGAGUGAGGACAACACCUGAAAUAUGGCAAAAACUUACGAGAGCAGCACCAGACAGAUACGCCCCCACACUAUUAGCCACAUUCCACAGAUACGAGGACCAACAGAGAAGACCCCUAGUCUUCGAAUUGAUUCUUACACUCCAAAACUAUGAGCAGCAUCUACCCCCAACCCACGUUUCCAUUUCAGCCGUCACAGAGUUAGCAAACAGACUGGGUGAUGUAGAAGAGCAGAUGUCCCUAUUGAUUAAUCGUGAUGAACCCGUAGAACCCGUAAUAGUAUCGGAAACGUUUGACGACGAUCAAGAUAAGCAAAGGGGCCUAAUGAAAGAGCUUAUCAAACUAAUGAAAAUCCAAUUAAUUAAAGAAGAUGGAUCCCCCUCCUCACCUGUAACAUCAAAAAUUUCAGCUACCGAAGGCAAACGCUUUCCUGCUCGAGUGAGAAACAACAACAGGACGGCUUCGCGUGUUGCCUUGUGGCGUUAUCUCCGUGACCAUGGAGAAGAUAUGAGGAAGUGGCACGAUCAAGAUACUCCCGUACUGCGAGCACGGGUGAGAGAAUUACAGAAUAGACCAACCACCAGUGUAGUUGCUCCAGUUACCACAGGUAAUGAAUAGAGGGGCCCUGCCCUCAGUCAGGGGAGGGAGAGGGAUAACAGAGUUUAUUGGACUGUGUGGAUCCGAUGGCCUGGCACAUCAGAACCACAGAAAUAUAAGGCAU
This 1074-nucleotide long non-coding RNA is filed under the name Gallus gallus (chicken). RNAcentral's name for it is "lncRNA (ENSGALG00010005759.1)". The record is from RNAcentral. Lineage: Eukaryota; Metazoa; Chordata; Aves; Galliformes; Phasianidae.